UUAAGUUCAGGGGGUAUCCCUACCUGAUCUGAGGCCAAGCUGUAAAAUAAAUCGUUCAGUUGGCAGACAUCUAUACAGUUGCUUUAACGAGAAAUUACUUACUACGUCUUACAAGCUGAAAUAGCGUCGCCAAUAACUUAAAGGAGAGAGGCACUGCCACUUCUCCCAAUACCAAACCAAGGUUUGAUUCAUUUAUUGAC
Molecule: unclassified non-coding RNA, 200 nt
Filed under: Ascobolus sp.
Lineage: Eukaryota; Fungi; Ascomycota; Pezizomycetes; Pezizales; Ascobolaceae
Description: partial internal transcribed spacer 2
Source: RNAcentral